GAUGAACGCUGGCGGCGUGCCUAAUACAUGCAAGUCGAGCGCGACUGAUUGCACCGUCCUUCGGGACACCGUCAUCAUUGAGCGGCGGACGGGUGAGUAACACGUGGGCAACCUACCCUUAAGACUGGGAUAACCGCGGGAAACCGUGGCUAAUACCGGAUAAUACUUUUAUACAACGGUAUAGAAGUUGAAAGGUGGAUUUCUAUCACUUAAGGAUGGGCCUGCGGCGCAUUAGCUGGUUGGUAAGGUAACGGCUUACCAAGGCGACGAUGCGUAGCCGACCUGAGAGGGUGAUCGGCCACACUGGAACUGAGACACGGUCCAGACUCCUACGGGAGGCAGCAGUAGGGAAUCUUCCGCAAUGGGCGAAAGCCUGACGGAGCAACGCCGCGUGUGCGAAGAAGGUCUUCGGAUCGUAAAGCACUGUUGUUAAGGAAGAACGACAGUAAGAGUAACUGUUUACUGUGUGACGGUACUUAAACAGAAAGCCACGGCUAACUACGUG
This 505-nucleotide ribosomal RNA is filed under the name uncultured bacterium. Its description in RNAcentral is "partial 16S ribosomal RNA". It matches the Rfam family "Bacterial small subunit ribosomal RNA", at positions 28 to 507 of the family's 1533-position model. The record is from RNAcentral.